GGGGAAAAAUUAAUAAAGGGGGAAAUAAUAAAAGAAAUUUUAAUGUUAAAAUAUUGGGGGUUUAAGUAUUUUAAUAGAAAAAAAUUUUUUGGUUUAUAGUUAAUUUGUAUUGUAAAAGAUUUUUGAAAUAAUGAUGAAAAUAAAUUUAUGGGAAAGUAAUUUUUAUUUGAUGUAUCUUGUGUAUCAGAGUUUAUUAAUAAUUUUAUAUAGGUUUAAAUUUCUCAAAUUUAAAAGAGAUAAUUAAUUAUAAAAGUUAUUGUUGUAUAAAUAUUUUUAAUAAUUAAUUUGAAAUGAAAUGUUAAUCGUUUUUAAAGAUAUUUAGUUUUUUUAGAAAAAAAUUUAAUUUUUAAUAUAAAAAAAAAAUUAUUAAUUAAUUAAUAAUUUUUUUUUUAUAUUUAAUAUUUUAAGGGAUAAGCUUUAAAUUAAAUUUUUAUAAUAAAAAUUAAUAUUUAUUAAAAAUUUUAUAAUUUAUAUUGUUAAUAAAUUAUAUUUUAUUAUAAAUAAUUUUAUUAAAAUUUAAAAUUUAAUUAAAAUUUAAUUUUUUAUAAAAAAAUAAAUUAUAAUUUAAAAAAUUUAGAUAUAAUGAUAAAAUUAGUAUAUAAAUAAAAUAAAUAAUUAAAAUUUAUUUGAAAAUAAUUAAAAGGAAUUCGGCAAAAAUUAUAUUCACUUGUUUAUCAAAAACAUGUCUUUUUGUAAAAAAUAUAAAGUCUAAUCUGCCCACUGAUAUAUAUUAAAGGGCUGCAGUAUAUUGACUGUACAAAGGUAGCAUAAUCAUUAGUCUCUUAAUUGGUGACUUGAAUGAAGGAUUGGAUGAAAUAUAAACUGUCUCUUAAUUAAAUAUAGAAAUUAAUUUUUUAAUUAAAAAGUUAAAAUAAUUUAAAAAGACGAGAAGACCCUAUAGAGUUUAAUAAUUAAAUUUCUUAGAUUUAUUUAUAAAAUUAUAAAAUUGUAAUAAUUUUUAUUAUUUUGUUGGGGGGAUAAAAAAAUAUAAUUAACUUUUUUUAAAAAUUAACAUUGAUAAGUGAUUUUUUGAUCCAAUAAUAUUGAUUAAAAGAAAAAAUUACCUUAGGGAUAACAGCGUAAUUUUUUUUUUUAGUUCUUAUAAGAAAAAAAGUUUGCGACCUCGAUGUUGGAUUAAGAUAAAAUUUGGAUGCAAAAGUUCAAAAUUUUGAUCUGUUCGAUCAUUAAAAUCUUACAUGAUCUGAGUUCAAACCGGUGUGAGCCAGGUUGGUUUCUAUCUUUUAAAAAUUAAAAUAUUUUAGUACGAAAGGAUCAAAUAUUUAAAUUAAAUUUAAUUUUAAUUAAAUGAAUUUUAUUAAUAUGAAAAUAAAUUUGAUAUAAAAUAAUUUAUAACUAUUUUGGCAGAGAAAAUGUAAU
This 1377-nucleotide ribosomal RNA is filed under the name Brahmaea hearseyi. Its description in RNAcentral is "16S ribosomal RNA". The record is from RNAcentral. Lineage: Eukaryota; Metazoa; Arthropoda; Insecta; Lepidoptera; Brahmaeidae.